This 448-nucleotide ribosomal RNA is filed under the name uncultured bacterium. RNAcentral's name for it is "SSU rRNA". It matches the Rfam family "Bacterial small subunit ribosomal RNA", at positions 26 to 518 of the family's 1533-position model. The record is from RNAcentral.
AGAGCGAACGCUGGCGGCAGGCCUAACACAUGCAAGUCGAGCGCCCGUAGCAAUACGGGAGCGGCAGACGGGAUAGUAACACGUGGGAACGCGCCCUUCGGUUCGGAAUAACUCAGGGAAACUUGAGCUAAUACCGGAUACGCCCUUACGGGGAAAGAUUUAUUGCCGAAGGAACGGCCCGCGUCCGAUUAGCUAGUUGGUGAGGUAAUGGCUCACCAAGGCGACGAUCGGUAGCUGGUCUGAGAGGAUGACCAGCAUCACUGGGACUGAGACACGGCCCAGACUCCUACGGGAGGCAGCAGUGGGGAAUAUUGGACAAUGGGCGCAAGCCUGAUCCAGCCAUGCCGCGUGGAUGAUGAAGGCCUUAGGGUUGUAAAGUCCUUUUAACGGGAAGAUAAUGACGGUACCCGUAGAAUAAGCCCCGGCUAACUUCGUAGCCAGCAGCCGC